Molecule: long non-coding RNA, 314 nt
Filed under: Phoenix dactylifera (date palm)
Lineage: Eukaryota; Viridiplantae; Streptophyta; Magnoliopsida; Arecales; Arecaceae
Description: long non-coding RNA (PDAC_LNC016255)
Source: RNAcentral
AGAUAUUAUGGACACAAUGUUGAGCUGUUUUGGGUUUUUUGCGUGCUUCUGGAGGUAACAUAGAUUUUUCCAACUUCUCAGGAAACAAUUGUAUGAGUUGGAUAAAUCUAAUUCCUUAAUGAUAUAUGCCAAGGCAUUUGUAUGAUCUUCCAUUAGAUACAUACAAUAUGUUGUUGAAAUUCCCUGCUUUUUUUAAUAAAAAAGGGGGGAAAUUCCCUUUAUGUUUGAUGUGAAUAUUCUUCCAACGUAAAGAUGCUCCCCUUAAUAAGCCCUAAUGGCUGUUCAGCUUAAAGACACUUGACGUGAACAUCAGG